This is an RNA transcript of Harpia harpyja (harpy eagle), 4939 nucleotides long. It is a transcript of the gene named interleukin 15, with no coding region annotated. The transcript is spliced from 7 exons. The record is from RefSeq and is a predicted model, not a curated record. Lineage: Eukaryota; Metazoa; Chordata; Aves; Accipitriformes; Accipitridae.
CUGAUGUCACCUGGGCCUACGACACCCCUCUGCCCUGCUGUCGCACAGCAAGCCAGAUGCUGUACCUUUUGGAGGAGCUCUUUUCUGUCCUGCCAACCCUAUUCCAUGGUCGUGCUCGUCUUUCUUGGUGGCAUCCUGAGAGGUAAAAUCUCUUUUCCUCCUGUGGUGGCUGCCCCAGUAAAACGCUGUCCAGGCUGCAGAGAAGUGGAGGAGUUACAGCAUAAAGCUACAGUGUUUGCUUCCAAGAAAACACAUCUGAAAAGUAUUUGUCUGCAAUAUCAGCUGUAUCUUCUUCUGAACAGCCAUUUCUUUUGCCUUUUAAAGAAUGAGAUGGGACUAAUCAUCUUCUUCCUAUGUGCUUAUGUACCAAAGACAGCAGCAGGUCAUUGCAAGUGGGCGGAAGUUCUGAAAGAUUUGGAGCAGAUCAAGACAUCCAAAGACAUUGAUGUCAGUUUAUAUACUGCAAACACAGAUGAGGGUAAAGAAUGCCAAGAACCUGUAAUGAGAUGCUUUUUCUUAGAGACAGAAGUGAUUCUGCAAGAAUGUCUUAUCAAAAAUUGUAGUAAAACACAGGAUGUAUGGAACAUAUGGAAAAAUGGAAACGCAAGCUUAGAAAAUAACAAGUUGAAUUCCAAAACAUCAGCAAAAUGCAAAGAAUGUGAAGAGUAUGAAGAAAAAAAUUUUACAGAAUUUAUACAGAGUUUUGUAAAGGUUAUACAGAAGGAAUGCAAACACUGACCAAAUGACACAAGCUGGGAACCAAGAUUCUUCCACGAACAUCCUCAGAGAAAUUAGAUUAUCACCAACAAUAAACUGGAAAGAACAUCACUUACAAUCCUACUUACAUAGCAUAACACGUAAACAAAGAAUAAUAAAAUCCCUGUAAUUCACAAUGUAUUCAUAACUGAAUACAUACAAAUGAUAAUACUUAGGAAAUAUAAAUGAAAGGAAUUUAACAGUGUUUAAAGCUCCUUCUUGACUUAAAGUAAGUCUUUUGGUAAGUCCACCAGAAAAGAAAUCCUGCCUAAUUUACCAACCUUUCAACAAAAUUCUCUAAGAAGAUCUCAGGGUAUCUGCAGUAGGAACCUCCUCAUGAACAUCAGUUCAGGGCUAACUGAAUGGGGUUUCAGAGAAAAGCUCUUCUUUUAUUAUUAUUAAUAUAAAAUUAUCAUAACCUUUUAAAGUAUUUGGCUAUAGCUAUUUUUGUUAUCUGAAAUCUAUCCCUUUACCAUCUGUGCUCCUAGAAGAUCCUAGCUCAUCUCUCACUUCUGUUGUUAGUCAUGUCUGACAGUUUUCCUUGCAAUUUUUUUUUCUUAUUAACAUUCCUUCAACGAACUAAUGUCAAACCACAAGCUGAGGCCUAUUUGUCUCAAAGAUCUAUUGUCUAUCUCUUAAUAUAUUUAUUUCUACUAUGGUUUUCAGGUAAACCCAAUUACUUCUUUUACCUAAGAAUUUAAAGUCAAAAGUUAGAAUAUUUCUUUAAAGAUUCUUCCUUACAUUUUUUUCCUUUUGUACAAUGGUAGCAUAAGGGCAUUAAAAAUUACCUCCAGUCUUCUCAACAGAAGGUAAUGCUGGUGCUUGGUUCCAUUGUCCAAUGACAGAACAUGCUUUGUUGCUUGGUUUGCUACCUCUGACACAGACACUACCUUAGUCAUUAUGGUAAUUACUACAGUUCCUUUAGCAAUUACCAAAGAUUUCAAUCUAAAUUUCAACCAAAGAAAAGUAGUGUAAAUUUCAUUCUCUGAAUAAAGGAGGUGACCAAAUCUCUUUCACACACCACAUCGCUUACACAUUUCUUAGGUAGAAAUCUUUCCUAUGUAGGAGAGUUUGUAACUUUGGUCUCCUUUUGGGGCAAGAACUUUGAAGGCAGGAAUCACUUUUGACCAGUUAUGGGAAAUCAUGAUAACUGUAUUUCUAAGACUCAAUGCCUCACCUGUCCCCUGUUAGUUCUGAAAUGUUGCAUAGUCUUUCAGCUCUUUCUAAAGUAACUGCUUUCUUCACGAUUCAUAACCAUGUCAUACCAACUGCUAUCUAUAAUAAGUAAUUCUUUCCUCCAGGCACCUCCAUUUCUCCAUCUUCAUUUGUGUGCUGGUUUUGGCUGGGAUAGAGUUACUUUUCUUCAUAGUAGCUAGUAUGGGGCUAUGUUUUGGAUUUGUGCUGGAAACAGUGCUGAUAACACAGGGAUGUUUUAGUUAUUGCUGAGCAGUGCUCACACAGAGCCAAGGGCUUUUCUGCUCCUCACCCCACACCACCCGCGAGCAGGCUGGGGGGGGCACAAGGAGUUGGGAGGGGACACAGCUGGGACAGCUGACCCCAACUGACCCAAGGGAUAUUCCAGACCAUAUGACAUCGCGCUCAGGAUAUAAAGCUGGGGGAAGAAGGAAGGGGGGGACGUUUGGAGUGAUGGAGUUUGUCUUCCCAAGUAACCGUUAGGCGUGAUGGAGCCCUGUUUUCCUGGAGAUGGCUGAACACCUGCCUGCCCAUGGGAAGUGGUGAAUGAAUUCCUUGUUUUGCUUUGCUUGUGUGCACAGCUUUUGCUUUACCUAUUAAACUGUCUUUAUCUCAGCCCACGAGUUUUCUCACUUUUACUCCUCCCAUUCUCUCCCCCAUCCCACUGGGGAGGAGUGAGCGAGCGGCUGUGUGGGGCUUAGUUGCUGGCUGGGGUUAAACCACGACAGUUUGAUAACUGGCUGAGUCAUCCAACUGUCUGCUUACCAGGAAGGAAGUCUCAGUCUCGUUAUGGCAACAAAUACACUGCCUGGUACUCUCUUAUUGCUGGGUUACUCCCAACAGUCAAUCUUCAGCACUCUUAGGAGCUGAAUCUCCAGUAAACUACAAGAGAAAGAACACGACUGUGAGCACAGUGGAUGUCAUCUUCCAGGUGACUUAUAGACUGAUUGGUAAAUUCAUAAGUGCAUUGAUAUCGGGAUUAAAUACUGGCAGAGGUAUCACAGAAGAAAUAAAUUCUUUGCCACUGCAAAACAUCAAUGAAAGAAGUGUUUAUGACAUAGUUUGAAGUAAACUGGUCCUACAUUCUAAAUUUUUCCUUAAAACAAUGGUAUGCAUUGAAUAUGAUUUUCUCUUACCUGAUGUCACAUGCACAGGCAAAGUAAAACCAAGUUACAACUGUGGUCUUUAAUCAAAGAGAUAAAGGAAUUUUCCUUAUUUCUAGCUUUGAGGGAGCUUGAGACACAGUCCAGCAGUAUUCAUGAUGGGAGAAAUGAAACAGCUCUUUUGCUCAGGUAGUUUUCUUUACCUUGGCCAUUGUGAAAAUCAGUUACCUGAUUAAUUUUAUUCUGUUUUUCAUUAAAUCAUUUACCAGUGGCAAGUAUGUUAAAUACUAUGAAUUUGUCUUUCCCAAAUCAUAUCGCUAAUUCUGUGGCCACUCAGCUUGCCACCCUGUUAGCCACUUCCUGUUGGACAUUGGCCAUAUCUCUUUUAUUUCAUUUCACCUCUACCUGUUCCAGAUGCAUAUUCUAGAACCAAAAAAGGCCUUUUGCUUAUCUAGUGCUCCAGUAUUUCUCCUGGGGUUUUCCUUUUUCUGAGAGCUAAGCUGCCAGUUGAAAGCUUUACUACAUCCUGAAUCCUGUGGUUAUAAGAAGUGAUCUGAUCUGUAUAAAGGAUGGACUAAAUUAAGACCAGGUUGGUAUUCUUUUUUUUAGUGAGGGAAUUCAUACAUAUCCUGGAGGAAAAGAUUCAAUACGACUAAGACAUGCAUGAAUCUGAUCUGACUUGUUAGUACUGCUGGCAGAACAGUAAAAAACUAAUUGAGGGUGCCUACUUUUGAAGUAAGCAUCCCUAGGUUGAGGAAGGUAUUUCUUCUACACAAGGUCUAGUAAUUUGUGUGGCAUUUACUAUCUAAUCUUUUCCAACUACUGUUGGUAAAAGCUAAGAGAGAGAUUAAUAUUGUAUUUUCUCCAAUUAAUCCAACUCAGUUUGGGACUAAGGUGACUCAUAGCAGAGUGUUUCUAUGUUCAGAAAGAAAAAUAACUAUGUUUUGACACCAGAAGAGAAUAAUAAUGCUCUUCCACAGAAGUUUUGGACUACAUAAUUCUGUGUUCCUGACUUUGCAAUAAUUUAAAAUCUAUUUUUCCUUUCCUUUCCCGGUAUUCAGUAUCCGUAUUUCUGUGUAUAUUUUAACAGGAUAAUGCAAGUAGCACUAGUGCAGGUGAUGUCUGACAUCUUCUGCCUUUUUGUUCUUUUAUGAGACCCUGAAGAUAAAUAUCGGUUGCUUAUCCAUGGAACGUUGUGGCUCCGAAUAUUUGAGCACCUGUUGAUCAGGCAUCAAAGGGGGCUUUUGGAAAACUUUGGAAAUUCCCAUCCUGAGUCACUGACCCAAGGUCAUGAUGGGAUGUCUUGGCAGGAGGAUUAAGAAUGUGAGAAUGAACUAGCUGCUGAGAACAAGUGGAUGAAGCAAAAGCAAGAGAUACAAUCUUCAUUGUAUCCUCAAGUCAGUAUUGGUAUUCUUGAGAAUAGAAAUAGUAUUAAUUUUUAUCCAAAGUGGCCUUCACUUGCAGCUCAUCUAUAUGAAGGUGUACCUUACUAACGAUAGAAACAGCACUGCAUACCAGAAUUUCUGUACAACAUCAGAAGACUGAUCAACAUGACACUAAGCCAUACUUAAAAGGAAACUAUUCUGUAGUGUGUAAAGAGCUACACCUUCUCUAGAGGCAGAGAAAGAGCAAUUAAACUUUGCUACUAUGCUCUCUAUGGAAUAUUACAUGCACUUAAGGAGGAAAAGAAAGCCAUAAAUGAGUAGGUUAUGUAUUUUGCAAUAAGAAGAUCAAAUCAGCAUCUCUAAGCUGUUUCCUUCCAACUAUUUUCCUCCAAAACCUGGAAAUGUUGGAGAAUUCUCAUCUCCUCAUCAAAAGGCUUAAUUAGGCCAAUAAUCAACACCUUAAAGACAGACAUAAAGAAAUAAAAAUCUUCCAAAACCUCA